UGCAGCUCUGCAGGCAUUCCAGGCAGUAGCUCGUUACUUCGAGGUGAGCAGCCAGCUGUCGGAGCAGCCAAACAGCGACAGUACAGCGCUGUUCUCCACUCCUCGUUAGUAUAGUGGGCCCUGCAGCAGAGCGGUGCCAGGCACAGUGCCGCCUUUACCCGUUCAGCUCUGGUGCUGAGCAGGGCGCUGGGAAUGCUGCCAGCUGGUGCUUGAAGCAGACACCCUGACACC
RNAcentral lists this long non-coding RNA (231 nucleotides) under Phasianus colchicus (ring-necked pheasant). RNAcentral describes it as "lncRNA (ENSPCLG00000008802.1)". The record is from RNAcentral. Lineage: Eukaryota; Metazoa; Chordata; Aves; Galliformes; Phasianidae.